Molecule: non-coding RNA, 73 nt
Organism: Podarcis lilfordi (Lilford's wall lizard)
Lineage: Eukaryota; Metazoa; Chordata; Lepidosauria; Squamata; Lacertidae
Source: the annotation of a GenBank genome assembly
AGCUAUCUAGCUCAGUUGAUAGAGCAUGAGACUCUUAAUCUCAGGGUCGUGGGUCUGAGUGCAAUGUUGGCUA